AUUUGUGUGUUUGUUGUGUUGACUGUGUGCCCCUUUGAGUUCGUGUGGUGUUCGUUUGGUUGUAGAGAUCGUGAUCUGCUUUAACCGGUCUCUAUGGAAGGCGGUCUCCGUGGAAGGGUUGUUUGGAGUUUGUGGUUCUUUCUUCGUUAUUUUGUGCAAUGGCUUUGACCCCUAACAUUCGUUUGUCUGUUUACUUUGAUAUUUUCAUUAUAGAGGAAUUUUACCAUUUUUUUAGGAGAUAUUCAAGUGGGCUAUGAUUUGAAUGGGGAAUGGAUGCCAACGUUGAGAAGUGGAGCUAGAAGGUUGAAACGGCUCCGUAUCCAAAGGGUCUCCAUAUCCAAGAUUGUUGGAGUUUUCAAGAUUGUCGUAAUUCCACUGUUGGGUCAACUUUCAAAUGAGCAUGGUUCGAAACCGUUUUUGCUCCUUUUUAUCAUCUUCACACGCUUGAUGACUAUGGUCCAUCAAUGAGAGAAAUGAGUCAUCCUUUUGUGAGAGCAUCAUUUAAUGCAGCUAGAGAGGAAGUAAGGAAGAGAGCACAUUCAAAGUCAGCAACCAAUGAAAAACAGAAAAAAGAUGUUGAUGAUGGUUUAGAUGCUGUUCUAGAGAAACAAGAAGCUGAAAUUAAAGCACUUGAUGAAGAAUUGGCUGCAUUGAAGACUGAGUUGAUUGAGGAGAGAAAUAAAUAUUGUGAUGAUUACAGUACCCCAUAUUGUGAUGAUUACAAUACCCCAUGUAACCAAAAUGAGUAUAGCAACAACUUUGGCCGUGAGGGAGAAGAUUGCACCAAUCAAACUGUU
Molecule: long non-coding RNA, 797 nt
Organism: Vigna radiata var. radiata (mung bean)
Lineage: Eukaryota; Viridiplantae; Streptophyta; Magnoliopsida; Fabales; Fabaceae
Exons: 3
Source: RefSeq, a predicted model, not a curated record